UACAGAGGUGGCAAGCGUUGUUCGGAAUUACUGGGCGUAAAGGGCGCGUAGGCGGCCUUCUAAGUCAUACGUGAAAUCCCUCGGCUUAACCGGGGAACUGCGUCUGAUACUGGAUGGCUUGAGUUCGGGAGAGGGAUGCGGAAUUCCAGGUGUAGCGGUGAAAUGCGUAGAUAUCUGGAGGAACACCGGUGGCGAAGGCGGCAUCCUGGACCGAUACUGACGCUGAGGAGCGAAAGCCAGGGGAGCAAACGGG
This 253-nucleotide ribosomal RNA is filed under the name uncultured bacterium. RNAcentral describes it as "partial 16S ribosomal RNA". It matches the Rfam family "Bacterial small subunit ribosomal RNA", at positions 524 to 776 of the family's 1533-position model. The record is from RNAcentral.